UACGGAGGGUGCAACCGUUGCUCGGAAUUACUGGGCGUAAAGCGCAUGUAGGCGGUCUCGUGUGUCUGGCGUGAAAGCCCCGGGCUCACCCCGGGAAGUGCGUUGGAAACUGCGAGACUAGAGUUCCGGAGAGGAAGGUGGAAUUCCAGGUGUAGCGGUGAAAUGCGUAGAUAUCUGGAAGAACACCGGUGGCGAAGGCGGCCUUCUGGACGGUGACUGACUCUGAGACGCGAAAGCGUGGGGAGCAAACAGG
This 253-nucleotide ribosomal RNA is filed under the name uncultured bacterium. RNAcentral describes it as "partial 16S ribosomal RNA". It matches the Rfam family "Bacterial small subunit ribosomal RNA", at positions 524 to 776 of the family's 1533-position model. The record is from RNAcentral.